UAUUGUAGUCCUCUUCCACCCUAGCUUUUAUUCUGUCACGAAGCCUCCCUUGAUGAGAUGGGAUCUCUGAUCUCCCAGGUGACAAUCUGCCCCAAUUCCUACUCCUUCCUAUUUCCUUUUCUACAUGUAAAUCACUACCAUAGGGAGAUCUUUCUGGAAGCUUUCUCCUACCAUGAAGAAUACUACUCACAUGGUUUUCAGGGCCAAAAUCGUGACUGACAACAGAUCUCAAGCCAUGACUUCUCUGUUUUGACAAGCGAUAGCGCAGAUC
Molecule: unclassified non-coding RNA, 271 nt
Filed under: Hevea brasiliensis (rubber tree)
Lineage: Eukaryota; Viridiplantae; Streptophyta; Magnoliopsida; Malpighiales; Euphorbiaceae
Source: RNAcentral